GAUAAACGCUGGCGGCGUGCAUAACACAUGCAAGUCGAACGAUGAAACUUGAAUGAUUUCUUCGGAAUGAACUUAAGUGGAUUAGUGGCGAACGGGUGAGUAACACGUGAGUAACCUGCCUUACACAAGGGGAUAGCCUCUGGAAACGGAGAAUAAUACCCUAUAAAGUCUAAUCAGCCCAUGCUGGAAAGACCAAAGAUUUAUCGGUGUAAGAUGGACUUGCGUCUGAUUAGCUAGUUGGUGAGAUAAAAGCUCACCAAGGCGACGAUCAGUAGCCGGCUUGAGAGAGUGUACGGCCACAUUGGGACUGAGACACGGCCCAAACUCCUACGGGAGGCAGCAGUGGGGAAUUUUGCACAAUGGGGGAAACCCUGAUGCAGCGACGCCGCGUGAUUUAGAAGGCCUUCGGGUUGUAAAAAUCUUUUUUACGGGAUGAAAAUGACAGUACCGUAAGAAUAAGGUCCGGCUAAAUACGUGCCAGCAGCCGCGGUAAUACGUAUGGACCGAGCGUUGUCCGGAAUCAUUGGGCGUAAAGGGUACGUAGGCGGCCUAGUAAGUUAGAAGUUAAAGAAUAUAGCUCAACUAUAUAAAGCUUUUAAAACUGCUAGGCUUGAGAGAUGGAAGGGAAAGUGGAAUUCCUAGUGUAGCGGUGAAAUGCGCAGAUAUUAGGAAGAAUACCGGUGGCGAAGGCGACUUUCUGGUCAUCAUCUGACGCUGAGGUACGAAAGCGUGGGUAGCAAACAGGAUUAGAUACCCUGGUAGUCCACGCUGUAAACGAUGAGUGUUAGGUUCUUGGAAUAAUCUGGGAGCCGCAGCUAACGCAUUAAACACUCCGCCUGGGGAGUACGCACGCAAGUGUGAAACUCAAAGGAAUUGACGGGGACCGCACAAGCAGCGGAGCAUGUGGUUUAAUUCGACGCAACGCGAAGAACCUUACCAAGUCUUGACAUAUUUCGGAGGGAAUUAGAGAUAAUUCCUUACGACUUCGGUCGACUGAAAUACAGGUGGUGCAUGGUUGUCGUCAGCUCGUGUCGUGAGAUGUUGGGUUAAGUCCCAUAACGAGCGCAACCCCUAUCGUUAGUUACCAUCAUUAAGUUGGGGACUCUAGCGAUACUGCCGGUGAUAAACCGGAGGAAGGUGGGGACGACGUCAAAUCAUCAUGCCCUUUAUGACUUGGGCUACACACGUGCUACAAUGGCAGAUACAGAGGGCAGCGAAAGAGUGAUCUGAAGCGAAACUCACAAAAUCUGUCCCAGUUCGGAUUGUACUCUGCAACUCGAGUACAUGAAGUUGGAGUUGCUAGUAAUCGCGAAUCAGAAUGUCGCGGUGAAUGCGUUCCCGGGUCU
This 1346-nucleotide ribosomal RNA is filed under the name uncultured bacterium. Its description in RNAcentral is "bacterial SSU rRNA". It matches the Rfam family "Bacterial small subunit ribosomal RNA", at positions 28 to 1381 of the family's 1533-position model. The record is from RNAcentral.